Nicotiana tabacum (common tobacco) is the source of this 1452-nucleotide RNA transcript. It is a transcript of the gene named uracil-DNA glycosylase, mitochondrial, with no coding region annotated. NCBI's taxonomy places the organism in Eukaryota, Viridiplantae, Streptophyta, Magnoliopsida, Solanales, Solanaceae. The record is from RefSeq and is a predicted model, not a curated record.
GUCCUCGGCUUCUGUUUUUUUCUCCAAUCUUAGAGAAUAGUUUCACUAGGGUGAUUUCAGGCGCCAUUUCCUCUUCUCACCACUACUCACUCCUUCUAAAGAGAAACCCAAACAAAAAUGGCGUCUUCCUCUUCCAAAACCCUAAAGGAUCUAUUCAAGCAACCUGCAGCAAAGCGGCUAAAACGGGUCUCCUCGCCAUCUUCUGCUGACAACUUCAUUUCCAGCGCCUUCUCAUCUUCAUUGUCGGAUGAAGACGGCGACAACAAAGACCCCAAAGAUACAAUGCUCACGUCCGAGCAAAAGUCGAGAAUGGAGUUCAAUAAAUCGCUUGCAAAGGCCAAAAUGAACCUCAAACUAUGCUCUGAUAAAAUCUCCAAGUUAAACGCAAAUGGUGAUGUCGUAGGAUAUGUGAAGUUAGAGGAACUGUUGGUUGAGGAGACAUGGUUGGAAGCACUGCCAGGGGAAUUUCAGAAGCCCUAUGCAAAGAACUUGUGUAGAUUUGUUGAAAAGGAAUUUAGUGGUGGUGUCCCAAUUUACCCCCCACAGCAUCUGAUUUUUAAUGCUCUUAAUACUACUUCAUUUGACAGGGUAAAGGCUGUCAUCAUUGGACAGGAUCCGUAUCAUGGGCCAGGUCAGGCAAUGGGCCUCUCUUUCUCGGUGCCUAGAGGUGUGAAAGUCCCUUCGAGUCUGGUGAACAUAUAUAAAGAACUUAAGCAAGAUUUGGGUUGUUCAAUACCACUCCAUGGAAAUCUGGAACAAUGGGCUUUACAGGGUGUUCUGCUUCUUAAUGCUGUUCUUACAGUUAGGCAUCACCAGGCAAAUUCUCAUGCAAAUAAAGGCUGGGAGCAAUUUACAGAUGCUGUCAUCAAAAUAAUUUCUCAGAAGAAAGAAGGAGUUGUUUUCAUUCUGUGGGGAAACUAUGCCCAAGCAAAAGCCAGGUUAGUUGAUGAAACAAGGCACCAUGUUCUCAAAUCAGCACACCCUUCUGGUUUGUCUGCAAACAGAGGCUUCUUUGGAUGUCGGCAUUUUUCACAGACAAACCAACUUUUGGAGAAGAUGGGAAUACCUCGCAUUGAAUGGCAACUAUAAGCUGCUAUGCAACCAUCAUUUUCGGAAUGCUACUGGGCCACUAAGAAGGAUUCUUCUAGGAUGUAUCUAAUAACACGGGGAAUGAUUGUUGAAGGUAGGGUUGCUUCCAUUUUUGUGAAGGUUGAUCCUUAAGUUGAACAAAUUAUGCUUUAUUGAUUAUGCUCCGUGUGGUUUAACACUGAUCUGCACGAGUCAUUUUCAACAUAAGUUCAACACUGAGAUCAAGGAAAAUAGAGUGAAUGUUCAGAAUCUUGUUCUUAGAUAUAGUGAUGAAAUCUUUUUGAGGUUUCUGGACUUGAAUUGAUGAAAGUUUUCAAAGGUUUCUUUCUAUUGUAUCUGCUGCCUUAUUAGGCUACUAAAACU